CAACCAUUACGCCAGCAUCCUAGCCGAAGCGCGGACCUCAGUCCCGGCUGGCCGUAUUACACCCUGGGCUAUAACACCUCCACCGAAGUGGAGGCCACAUUCCCAGAGCCUUUAUCCGGCCGCCGAAACUGAUGCUGGCCUGUCCAAACUGAGUAAACCGGUCAGAAGACCGGCCGAACAGUUUAAACAAGUCUGAUUGCAAGCGCUUCCCUUUCAACAAUUUCACGUGCUUUUUAACUCUCUUUCCAAAGUGCUUUUCAUCUUUCGAUCACUCUACUUGUGCGCUAUCGGUCUCUCGCCAAUAUUUAGCUUUAGAAGAAAUUUACCUCCCAUUUAGAGCUGCAUUCCCAAACAACUCGACUCGUCGAAGGAGAUUUACAUAGGGUGCCAUUUCCUGUCACAUACGGGAUUCUCACCCUCUAUGACGUCCUGUUCCAAGGAACUUAGACAGGCGGCUUCCCCAAAUCAUCCUCUACAAAUUACAAUGCGAACCCGAAGGCUAGCUUUCAAAUUUGAGCUGUUGCCGCUUCACUCGCCGUUACUAGGGCAAUCCCUGU
RNAcentral lists this ribosomal RNA (557 nucleotides) under Aureobasidium proteae. RNAcentral describes it as "partial 26S ribosomal RNA". The record is from RNAcentral. Lineage: Eukaryota; Fungi; Ascomycota; Dothideomycetes; Dothideales; Saccotheciaceae.